AAGAAUAUAAUUUAAUGGUAAAAUAAGAAGCUUCAAACUUCAAGUUCUCAGUUCGAGUCCGAGUAUUCUUG
RNAcentral lists this transfer RNA (71 nucleotides) under Parmotrema ultralucens. Its description in RNAcentral is "tRNA-Trp". It matches the Rfam family "tRNA". From Rfam's summary of the family: Transfer RNA (tRNA) molecules are approximately 80 nucleotides in length. Their secondary structure includes four short double-helical elements and three loops (D, anti-codon, and T loops). Further hydrogen bonds mediate the characteristic L-shaped molecular structure. tRNAs have two regions of fundamental functional importance: the anti-codon, which is responsible for specific mRNA codon recognition, and the 3' end, to which the tRNAs corresponding amino acid is attached (by aminoacyl-tRNA synthetases). tRNAs cope with the degeneracy of the genetic code in two manners: having more than one tRNA (with a specific anti-codon) for a particular amino acid; and 'wobble' base-pairing, i.e. permitting non-standard base-pairing at the 3rd anti-codon position. Lineage: Eukaryota; Fungi; Ascomycota; Lecanoromycetes; Lecanorales; Parmeliaceae. The record is from RNAcentral.